GAAUCUUGGGCAAUGGGCGCAAGCCUGACCCAGCGACGCCGCGUGAGGGAUGAAGGCCUUCGGGUCGUAAACCUCUGUCGGGAGGGAAGAACGUCGGUAGGGUGAACAAUCCUGUCGGUUGCCGGUACCUCCAAAGGAAGCGCCGGCUACCUCCGUGCCAGCAGCCGCGGUAAUACGGAGGGCGCAAGCGUUGUUCGGAAUCACUGGGCGUAAAGCGCGUGUAGGCGGCCGGGCAAGUCGGAUGUGAAAUCCCGAGGCUCAACCUCGGAACUGCAUUCGAAACUGCUCGGCUCGAGUGCCGGAGAGGAUGGCGGAAUUCCCGGUGUAGGGGUGAAAUCCGUAGAUGUCGGGAGGAACACCAGUGGCGAAGGCGGCCAUCUGGACGGUGACUGACGCUGAGACGCGAAAGCGUGGGGAGCAAACAGG
RNAcentral lists this ribosomal RNA (426 nucleotides) under uncultured bacterium. RNAcentral's name for it is "bacterial SSU rRNA". It matches the Rfam family "Bacterial small subunit ribosomal RNA", at positions 359 to 776 of the family's 1533-position model. The record is from RNAcentral.